This 2075-nucleotide long non-coding RNA is filed under the name Olea europaea subsp. europaea. The record is from RNAcentral. Lineage: Eukaryota; Viridiplantae; Streptophyta; Magnoliopsida; Lamiales; Oleaceae.
GUUCGACUUGGGCUGAAUUUUUAUGUGUCAACAAUUACCCCCCAAUAUGGCAGAAUUAAUAAUAAUUAUUGAAUUUUGCCAUAUUCACUUCACGUCUCCAGCAACGUUAGCGAUUCCCAAAGAAUUUCAAUCAUUGUUUCCCUCUAUAACUUGAAAAGGUGCGUCGCUUUGCGAACCCUUAUAAACUUCAAACACACCAUUUUGCUGCUACCAAAUCACGUUUCAUAUUUCUUGCGCAUUCUUCACGAUUCACGUAACUCUGAAAAGCUUCGUUCCUUCUUCAAUGGCUACUUCGUCAUCUCAAGCUAGCGACUCCUUUAAUUUUGAUGACUUCAGAGACUCCUGAGUCGUCCAUACGUAACCCCAAGUUUUCUCGCGCCCGCCGAUGUUGGACGUAAUGAGUUUUACUUGGGUCCUUUCUUCAACAAUGCGGAGGCAGUUGAACAGGCGGCGGUGGGUCAGCUGUUUCCUUGCACUCAUGGCCCUCCUUUUCUGAAUUCUUUGCCGCUGGGGCCACUUCGUGAAAGAGGUAUUCGCACUUGGCCCAAAUCUGACGUAGCUUUUCGUAGGUGGCAUGCUCGUCUUGUGGGUCAUGGUCCUACUAAGGCACUUUUUGAUAGCGCUAGGAUUUCUGAUUUGUUGGAAGUCUCUAUUCGCCCCCCUACUUUUGAUUCAGCGCUUUUUCCGAUUGCUCUGAGCUUUUGGUCCUCUGAAUAUAACACCUUUAUUUUUCCUCUUGGCCCCAUAUCUAUUACGUUAAGGGAUGUUGGGGCCCUAGUAAAUUUACCACCUUUGGGCGAUACCAUUUUCCCAGGCAUCUUAGUUUCUGGUGGCGCCCCUCAGUUCGGUAAAAACUAUACCGAUUCUUAUUCAAGCCUGCAGACACUCCACAAUCAUUCGAGUGCUGAGCCUACUCAUGCUGAGCGAGUGGCCUUCCUUUUAGUUUGGCUUUGUAAAUAUGUAUUAUGCGUGCCUAGUAUAAAGCCCUCUCUGAGUUAUCUACCUAUAGCGCACGAACUGGCGCGUGGUAGGCCUUUGAAUUUAUGUUCUUUGUUUUUGGCUGCUAUUUAUAGAGGCAUGGCCUCUCUUCAGGCUCAAUUGAAGAAUGGUGCAUCUCCUACUGGCAGUGGACCUCUUUGGUUCACUCAACUGUGGUUGAGAUCCUAUUUUCCAUCACUUGGUGCUCCAUCCAUUUCUCGUCCUUCUGCUAGCUGUUAUGGGCUAGCUAUGGAGCCCUUAACUCCUGUAAGUAUGUCCAGAAGAGACAUUUUUUCAUUCUUUUAUUCUUUAGAUUCAAUCUCUUCCUUCUUCCCUUUUCCUCCUUUUUUGACUCCGGACUAUGUACAUCCUCCUUCCACUCUAGAUAGCGCGAGCACCUCUCUGCUCAUUUGGAUUCAAUUCUUAACUGGGAGGGAGCUUUUCCACGAUAUCUUAACUGGGACCAACGCCAAAGCAGGGGUAGAAAUUUAUGCUCCCCAAUUUUUUGCCCGGCAACUUGGUUUCGGCCAAACUUGGCCUGUUCCUCUUUGCUAUUCGAAGAACUUAAACGACCGUUUUCAUACCAUUAAUAAGGUGGAAGCAGAGGCUAUAAACGCUCGCAACCUCCAUUUAUCGAGCCAUUUUUCACUAGCCCCUUUUAAUCCUUGUCAUGCUACUCACCCUCUUUUCGAACAACUUUGGCCAUCAGUGAAACGCAGAUUAUUUGCGACUGAGGCCAAUCGUGCCUUUCAUUCAUUAGACCAACCGAGUAUUUCUUCUCCUCCUCCUGUUUUGGUCACUCCUUUGUCUAUUCGGAACCCUUCUCCUUCUCGUCGUACUAAACAAUCUGCUCGUCCAUCUUCUUCCCUCCCUGCCAAGCCAACUAUGGCCAAGAGUGUUCCAAGCCGCAAACGGCCAGCUUCAGCAUUUCCAUCUUGUAUACAAUGAAGUUCAAUUUUUCUCGCCCUUCUUUGAAUUACGGGCAAUAUGAUUCCGUAUUCACAAGUAGACUUCCAAUCCAAGAUUUUAGAGUACCCUGAAGCCAUUUGGGCCAACUCAUUCGCCACGUCGUUAUAUAUCCUAUUGACGCAUUGAAG